CCUACGGGAGGCAGCAGUGGGGAAUAUUGCACAAUGGGGGAAACCCUGAUGCAGCGACGCCGCGUGAGUGACGAAGUAAUUCGUUAUGUAAAGCUCUAUCAGCCGGGAAGAAAAUGACGGUACCUUAGUAAGAAGCCACGGCUAACUACGUGCCAGCCGCCGCGGUAAUACGUAGGGGGCAAGCGUUAUCCGGAUUUACUGGGUGUAAAGGGAGUGUAGACGGGAGUGCAAGUCUGGAGUGAAAGGCGGGGGCUCAAACGCCGGACUGCUCUGGAAACUGUACGGCUGGAGUGCAGAAGCGGUAAGUGGAAUUCGUGGUGUAGCGGUGAAAUGCGUAGAUAUUAGGAGGAACACCAGUGGCGAAGGCAGCUUACUGGACUGUAACUGACGUUGAGGCUCGAAAGCGUGGGGAGCAAACAGGAUUAGAUACCCGGGUAGUC
This 440-nucleotide ribosomal RNA is filed under the name uncultured bacterium. RNAcentral's name for it is "partial 16S ribosomal RNA". It matches the Rfam family "Bacterial small subunit ribosomal RNA", at positions 338 to 795 of the family's 1533-position model. The record is from RNAcentral.